AAUAAAUGAAGCAGAGUGUCAUGAACUAAUGUGGAAGUUCUCCCAGAUGAUGAUGAUUGAAAGAAGAAAACAGCAGAACAAUAUGUUUAGUGUGACGUCAUUUACGUAUGAGAGAGAAAGAGAUAGGAAGGCUGUGGGUUUUGUUGUAUUAAUGAAAAUGCCUCCCACGCUAAGCCUGGCCCUCAGCCUGCCAGCGUUUCCGCCUGGCUCACGAUGUUCCACGCUGUUCCUCCAGGCGUCCCUGAGGGCCUCCAUCCUCGCUCGGGACUGUGCGGCUGCGGCAGCUAUUGUGUUCUUGGUGGACCGGUUCCUGUAUGGGCUCGACGUCUCUGGAAAACUUCUGCAGGUCGCCAAAGGUCUCCACAAGUUGCAGCCAGCCACGCCAAUUGCCCCGCAGGUGGUUAUUCGCCAAGCCCGAAUCUCCGUGAACUCAGGAUUCCAUCCAGCCAAACACUCAAUGUAGUGGGAUGUCAGAAGCAAGAGAAGACCCACAAGGCCAGGCACUAUGGCUCAUGCCUGUAAUCCCAGCACUUUGGGAGGCCGAAGCGGGUGGAUCACCUGAGGUCAGGAGUUCGAGACCAGCCUGGACAACAUGAUGAAACCCCAUCUCUACUGAAAACUACAAAAAUUAGCCAGGCGUGGUGGCAGCCGCCUGUAAUCCCAGCUACUUAGGAGGCUGAGGCAGGAGAAUCACUUGAACUCCGGAGGUGGAAGUUGCAGUGAGGUGAGAUCACGCCAUUGUACUCCAGCCUGGGGCACAAGAUCAAGACUUCGUCUCAAAAAAAAAAAAAAAAAAAAAAAAGAGAGACAAUUCACAAGGCCUGCUCACCUCACUCUUGCCUGAAAUUAGGAGACAAAACCUUUCAAACCACAGUUACAGAUAAAGGCUCAGAUUUCCAAUUCCAUUAACAUGGAGGACUGAGCACGUGCAGAAUCUUCUCCCAUUACAAAUACAUAAAUAUGGUGAAUUAAAGAUUUGUAGGUAACUGAAACAUAAAAGGUAUUUAAAAUCACAGCAAUAGACUACUGCUUACGACACACAGCCAAAGGAACUUACACUUGAGCAAAGUCCUCAAGGGAAGGGGCUGUCAUUUUAAUCCCUGGGCAGAGAUGAGAGACAAUUGCCUUGUGCCCAUGUGAGAAGUAAAAUAUUUGCAUCAAGCUGGAAUUCUUAAAGGUUUGCACAGGCUACAAAAGGAGACUGAACAAUCCCACCAGCCUGCCCAGAGAAGUUACAAGGACGCUUGCUCUCUGCCCAAGCUCUGGGAUGGAGGGGAAAAAAAACUCUCAUCUAAAAUA
Molecule: small RNA, 1299 nt
Filed under: Pan troglodytes (chimpanzee)
Lineage: Eukaryota; Metazoa; Chordata; Mammalia; Primates; Hominidae
Description: processed transcript
Source: RNAcentral